CGCGACCCUAUAUCUUGCGGGAUUACCCGCUGAAUUUAAGCAUAUCAAUAAGCGGG
Molecule: ribosomal RNA, 56 nt
Filed under: Juglans regia (Persian walnut)
Lineage: Eukaryota; Viridiplantae; Streptophyta; Magnoliopsida; Fagales; Juglandaceae
Description: 28S ribosomal RNA
Source: RNAcentral